UACUUAACUCCGCCUGUAGCUCCUCUUUAGGUUACUGCCGGUUCCAAGUCCGGAUAAAGGAGGAGGGUUGUG
RNAcentral lists this non-coding RNA (72 nucleotides) under Schistosoma mansoni. Lineage: Eukaryota; Metazoa; Platyhelminthes; Trematoda; Strigeidida; Schistosomatidae. The record is from RNAcentral.